UCGACGAAGCACUCUAUUCGAUUUUCUUCGGAGAUGAAGAUUUUGUGACUGAGUGGCGGACGGGUGAGUAACGCGUGGGUAACCUGCCUCAUACAGGGGGAUAACAGUUGGAAACGACUGCUAAUACCGCAUAAGCGCACGGUACCGCAUGGUACCGUGUGAAAAACUCCGGUGGUAUGAGAUGGACCCGCGUCUGAUUAGCUAGUUGGUGGGGUAACAGCCUACCAAGGCGACGAUCAGUAGCCGACCUGAGAGGGUGACCGGCCACAUUGGGACUGAGACACGGCCCAAACUCCUACGGGAGGCAGCAGUGGGGAAUAUUGCACAAUGGGGGAAACCCUGAUGCAGCGACGCCGCGUGAACGAAGAAGUAUUUCGGUAUGUAAAGUUCUAUCAGCAGGGAAGAUAAUGACGGUACCUGACUAAGAAGCACCGGCUAAAUACGUGCCAGCAGCCGCGGUAAUACGUAUGGUGCAAGCGUUAUCCGGAUUUACUGGGUGUAAAGGGAGCGCAGGCGGUGCGGCAAGUCUGAUGUGAAAGCCCGGGGCUCAACCCCGGUACUGCAUUGGAAACUGUCGUACUAGAGUGUCGGAGGGGUAAGUGGAAUUCCUAGUGUAGCGGUGAAAUGCGUAGAUAUUAGGAGGAACACCAGUGGCGAAGGCGGCUUACUGGACGAUAACUGACGCUGAGGCUCGAAAGCGUGGGGAGCAAACAGGAUUAGAUACCCUG
This 728-nucleotide ribosomal RNA is filed under the name uncultured bacterium. RNAcentral describes it as "bacterial SSU rRNA". It matches the Rfam family "Bacterial small subunit ribosomal RNA", at positions 48 to 789 of the family's 1533-position model. The record is from RNAcentral.